AUUGAACGCUGGCGGCAUGCCUUACACAUGCAAGUCGAACGGCAGCGGACCUUCGGGUGCCGGCGAGUGGCGAACGGGUGAGUAAUAUAUCGGAACGUACUUUUCAGUGGGGGAUAACGUAGCGAAAGUUACGCUAAUACCGCAUAUUCUGUGAGCAGGAAAGCAGGGGAUCGCAAGACCUUGCGCUGAUUGAGCGGCCGAUAUCAGAUUAGCUAGUUGGUGAGGUAAAGGCUCACCAAGGCGACGAUCUGUAGCUGGUUUGAGAGGAUGAUCAGCCACACUGGGACUGAGACACGGCCCAGACUCCUACGGGAGGCAGCAGUGGGGAAUCUUAGACAAUGGGCGCAAGCCUGAUCUAGCCAUGCCGCGUGAGCGAUGAAGGCCUUAGGGUUGUAAAGCUCUUUCAGUGGGGAAGAUAAUGACUGUACCCACAGAAGAAGCCCCGGCUAACUCCGUGCCAGCAGCCGCGGUAAAGUAG
This 478-nucleotide ribosomal RNA is filed under the name uncultured bacterium. Its description in RNAcentral is "bacterial SSU rRNA". It matches the Rfam family "Bacterial small subunit ribosomal RNA", at positions 30 to 528 of the family's 1533-position model. The record is from RNAcentral.